This 496-nucleotide ribosomal RNA is filed under the name uncultured bacterium. RNAcentral's name for it is "partial 16S ribosomal RNA". It matches the Rfam family "Bacterial small subunit ribosomal RNA", at positions 28 to 506 of the family's 1533-position model. The record is from RNAcentral.
GAUGAACGCUGGCGGCGUGCCUAAUACAUGCAAGUCGAGCGAACAGACGAGGAGCUUGCUCCUCUGACGUUAGCGGCGGACGGGUGAGUAACACGUGGAUAACCUACCUAUAAGACUGGGAUAACUUCGGGAAACCGGAGCUAAUACCGGAUAAUAUAUUGAACCGCAUGGUUCAAUAGUGAAAGACGGUUUUGCUGUCACUUAUAGAUGGAUCCGCGCCGCAUUAGCUAGUUGAUAAGGUAACGGCUUACCAAGGCAACGAUGCGUAGCCGACCUGAGAGGGUGAUCGGCCACACUGGAACUGAGACACGGUCCAGACUCCUACGGGAGGCAGCAGUAGGGAAUCUUCCGCAAUGGGCGAAAGCCUGACGGAGCAACGCCGCGUGAGUGAUGAAGGUCUUCGGAUCGUAAAACUCUGUUAUUAGGGAAGAACAAAUGUGUAAGUAACUAUGCACGUCUUGACGGUACCUAAGCAGAAAGCCACGGCUAACUACGU